Molecule: ribosomal RNA, 253 nt
Filed under: uncultured bacterium
Lineage: Bacteria
Description: partial 16S ribosomal RNA
Rfam family: Bacterial small subunit ribosomal RNA
Source: RNAcentral
UACAGAGGUCUCAAGCGUUAUUCGGAUUCACUGGGCGUAAAGGGUGCGCAGGCGGCCGUGUGUGUGAGGCGUGAAAGCCCGGGGCUUAACCCCGGAAUUGCACCUCAAACUACAUGGCUAGAGCAUUGGAGAGGGUAGCAGAAUUCAUGGUGUAGCAGUGAAAUGCGUAGAUAUCAUGAGGAAUACCAGAGGCGAAGGCAGCAGACUGGGGCAUUCCUGACACUGAAACAUGAAAGCGUGGGUAGCGAAUGGG